GAUCCUGGCUCAGGAUGAACGCUGGCGGCGUGCUUAACACAUGCAAGUCGAGCGAAGCACUUUGGAAAGAUUCUUCGGAUGAUUUCCUUUGUGACUGAGCGGCGGACGGGUGAAGUAACGCGUGGGUAACCUGCCUCAUACAGGGGGGAUAACAGUUAGAAAUGACUGCUAAUACCGCAUAAGACCACGGUAGCGCAUGGUACAGUGGUAAAAACUCCGGUGGUAUGAGAUGGACCCCGCGU
This 242-nucleotide ribosomal RNA is filed under the name uncultured bacterium. RNAcentral's name for it is "partial 16S ribosomal RNA". It matches the Rfam family "Bacterial small subunit ribosomal RNA", at positions 15 to 236 of the family's 1533-position model. The record is from RNAcentral.